UACGUAGGUGGCAAGCGUUGUCCGGAAUUAUUGGGCGUAAAGCGCGCGCAGGCGGUCCUUUAAGUCUGAUGUGAAAGCCCACGGCUCAACCGUGGAGGGUCAUUGGAAACUGGGGGACUUGAGUGCAGAAGAGGAAAGUGGAAUUCCAAGUGUAGCGGUGAAAUGCGUAGAGAUUUGGAGGAACACCAGUGGCGAAGGCGACUUUCUGGUCUGUAACUGACGCUGAGGCGCGAAAGCGUGGGGAGCAAACGGG
This 253-nucleotide ribosomal RNA is filed under the name uncultured bacterium. RNAcentral's name for it is "partial 16S ribosomal RNA". It matches the Rfam family "Bacterial small subunit ribosomal RNA", at positions 524 to 776 of the family's 1533-position model. The record is from RNAcentral.